RNAcentral lists this ribosomal RNA (700 nucleotides) under uncultured beta proteobacterium. RNAcentral describes it as "bacterial SSU rRNA". It matches the Rfam family "Bacterial small subunit ribosomal RNA", at positions 80 to 777 of the family's 1533-position model. The record is from RNAcentral. Lineage: Bacteria; Pseudomonadati; Pseudomonadota; Betaproteobacteria.
UGCACCUGGUGGCGAGUGGCGAACGGAUGAGUAAUACAUCGGAACGUACCUUAUCGUGGGGGAUAACGCAGCGAAAGCUGUGCUAAUACCGCAUACGCCCUGAGGGGGAAAGCGGGGGAUCGAAAGACCUCGCGCGAUUAGAGCGGCCGAUGCCUGAUUAGCUUGUUGGUGGGGUAAAAGCCCACCAAGGCGACGAUCAGUAGCUGGUCUGAGAGGACGAUCAGCCACACUGGGACUGAGACACGGCCCAGACUCCUACGGGAGGCAGCAGUGGGGAAUUUUGGACAAUGGGGGAAACCCUGAUCCAGCAAUGCCGCGUGAGUGAAGAAGGCCUUCGGGUUGUAAAGCUCUUUUGUCAGGGAAGAAACACCGGCUCUAACACAGUCCGGGAAUGACGGUACCUGAAGAAUAAGCACCGGCUAACUACGUGCCAGCAGCCGCGGUAAUACGUAGGGUGCAAGCGUUAAUCGGAAUUACUGGGCGUAAAGCGUGCGCAGGCGGUUAUACAAGACAGGCGUGAAAUCCCCGGGCUUAACCUGGGAAUGGCGCCUGUGACUGUAUAGCUAGAGUGUGUCAGAGGGGGGUAGAAUUCCACGUGUAGCAGUGAAAUGCGUAGAUAUGUGGAGGAAUACCAAUGGCGAAGGCAGCCCCCUGGGAUAACACUGACGCUCAUGCACGAAAGCGUGGGGAGCAAACAGGA